GAGGGUACAGCUCAAGUGGUAGAGUGCAUGCUUAGCAUGCACAAGGUCCUGGGUUCAGUCCCCAGUGCCUUCU
Molecule: transfer RNA, 73 nt
Organism: Camelus ferus (Wild Bactrian camel)
Lineage: Eukaryota; Metazoa; Chordata; Mammalia; Artiodactyla; Camelidae
Rfam family: tRNA
About the family: Transfer RNA (tRNA) molecules are approximately 80 nucleotides in length. Their secondary structure includes four short double-helical elements and three loops (D, anti-codon, and T loops).
Source: Rfam